RNAcentral lists this long non-coding RNA (296 nucleotides) under Mytilus galloprovincialis (Mediterranean mussel). The record is from RNAcentral. Lineage: Eukaryota; Metazoa; Mollusca; Bivalvia; Mytilida; Mytilidae.
GCCUUUAUGUGCUUCUUCGUUACAUUUGUUGUUUUUAUAGUGAUAUUAAGAUGAUAACACAAUAUUGACUGCUGUACCCCUAUUUUUGACAUUUUUACUCUUUGAGUAUGUUUGUUUUGUUCAUACAUCGUUGACAAUGUAAUGGAAUUUGACGCAACUGUCAUACAAGUGAGAGGUUUAGCUAGCUAUAAAACCAGGUUCAAUCCACCAUUUUCUAUAUUAGAAAAUGCCUGUACCAAGUCAGGAAUAUGACAGUUGUUAUCCAUUCGUUUGAUGUGUUUGGACAUUUGAUUUUG